GCCCAGGUGCUGAAACUGGUAGACAGGCCAGACUAAGGAUCUGGUGCCGGAAACGGCGUGGAGGUUCGAGUCCUCUCCUGGGCA
Molecule: transfer RNA, 84 nt
Filed under: Gemmatimonadota bacterium
Lineage: Bacteria; Pseudomonadati; Gemmatimonadota
Also listed under: 2 other names
Description: Gemmatimonadetes bacterium tRNA-Leu
Rfam family: tRNA
About the family: Transfer RNA (tRNA) molecules are approximately 80 nucleotides in length. Their secondary structure includes four short double-helical elements and three loops (D, anti-codon, and T loops).
Source: RNAcentral